This 468-nucleotide ribosomal RNA is filed under the name uncultured Sphingobacteriales bacterium. RNAcentral describes it as "bacterial SSU rRNA". It matches the Rfam family "Bacterial small subunit ribosomal RNA", at positions 910 to 1382 of the family's 1533-position model. The record is from RNAcentral. Lineage: Bacteria; Pseudomonadati; Bacteroidota; Sphingobacteriia; Sphingobacteriales.
UUGACGGGGCCGCACAAGCGGUGGAGCAUGUGGUUUAAUUCGAUGAUACGCGAGGAACCUUACCUGGGCUCAAAUGUAUGUUGACGUAUUCUGAAAGGGAUACUUCUUCGGACAAUAUACAAGGUGCUGCAUGGUUGUCGUCAGCUCGUGCCGUGAGGUGUCGGGUUAAGUCCCAUAACGAGCGCAACCCCUAUCAUUAGUUGCCAUCAGGUCAAGCUGGGGACUCUAAUGAAACUGCCUACGCAAGUAGUGAGGAAGGUGGGGAUGACGUCAAAUCAGCACGGCCCUUACGUCCAGGGCUACACACGUGCUACAAUGGCCGGUACAGAGUGAAGCGAAACCGCGAGGUGAAGCAAAACGCAGAAAGCCGGUCUCAGUACGGAUUGGAGUCUGAAACUCGACUUCAUGAAGUUGGAAUCGCUAGUAAUCGCGCAUCAGCAUGGCGCGGUGAAUACGUUCCCGGGCCUU